Long non-coding RNA from Panonychus citri (citrus red mite), 597 nucleotides. RefSeq lists it as uncharacterized. NCBI's taxonomy places the organism in Eukaryota, Metazoa, Arthropoda, Arachnida, Trombidiformes, Tetranychidae. The transcript has 2 exons. The record is from RefSeq and is a predicted model, not a curated record.
AGAAUUUCAAUUAUUCCAAUGAUUUAAUUUGUCUCUUUUUCUAUCAACUCAUUUUUCGCGCUUUCACUUGUAUCUUAUUCUUUUUAUGGAUCUUGAUUGGAAUCGAUACUUUUUGAGUCUAAGGUCAAAUCAGUGAAUUUGGUUGAUUAAAUUUUCUAAUUUCUUGUUAAUUAAAUUGUUCCUUUGGUCCUAAAUUAAAAUGAUCUCUGCUGCCCGGAGUUUAUUAACUGUCGCUCGACGAUCCCCACAACAGAUUAGGCUUUGUCAUGAGGGUUUCACCUACAAAGGAGAAAAUUUACCAUUCAGCAUCAAGAAUCGGCGACUAUUUGCUGUCAAGUUUAUCUUGUACUGUUCGUUACCCGUUUGGAUACCAUUUUUAAUCAUGAGAUUCAAUCUGAUCAAAAUGCGUUAAUCUAAUAAUGUCAGUAAACAAAAAGGAAUCACCAACAUUUUUGAGCAAAAUCUCAGCUCAUCAUCUAAUAGAUUCUCUCCUGAUUUUGUUUUAACAAUACUUAGUUACCUGAUUAUCAUGGAGGAAGAAAAUAAAGAUGUAUAUUAAUCUUUUGUUGUUUAAAGAAAUAAAUGUAGCUAAGUGAA